GGGGAUGUGGUUUAGUGGUAGAGCUCUUGCCUUGCAUGCAUUAGGCCCUGGGUUUGAUCCCCAGCACCACAA
This 72-nucleotide transfer RNA is filed under the name Heterocephalus glaber (naked mole-rat). It matches the Rfam family "tRNA". From Rfam's summary of the family: Transfer RNA (tRNA) molecules are approximately 80 nucleotides in length. Their secondary structure includes four short double-helical elements and three loops (D, anti-codon, and T loops). The record is from Rfam by way of RNAcentral. Lineage: Eukaryota; Metazoa; Chordata; Mammalia; Rodentia; Bathyergidae.